AGAGUUUGAUCCUGGCUCAGAUUGAACGCUGGCGGAAUGCUUUACACAUGCAAGUCGAGCGGCAGCGCGGGGCAACCUGGCGGCGAGCGGCGAACGGGUGAGUAAUACAUCGGAACGUGCCCAGACGUGGGGGAUAACUACUCGAAAGAGUGGCUAAUACCGCAUACGAUCUAAGGAUGAAAGCGGGGGAUCGCAAGACCUCGCGCGUUUGGAGCGGCCGAUGGCAGAUUAGGUAGUUGGUGGGGUAAAGGCUUACCAAGCCCGCGAUCUGUAGCUGGUCUGAGAGGAUGAUCAGCCACACUGGGACUGAGACACGGCCCAGACUCCUACGGGAGGCAGCAGUGGGGAAUUUUGGACAAUGGGCGAAAGCCUGAUCCAGCCAUUCCGCGUGCAGGAUGAAGGCCCUCGGGUUGUAAACUGCUUUUGUACAGAACGAAAAGCUCUUUCUAAUACAGAGAGUCCAUGACGGUACUGUAAGAAUAAGCACCGGCUAACUACGUG
This 501-nucleotide ribosomal RNA is filed under the name uncultured bacterium. RNAcentral describes it as "bacterial SSU rRNA". It matches the Rfam family "Bacterial small subunit ribosomal RNA", at positions 8 to 507 of the family's 1533-position model. The record is from RNAcentral.